RNAcentral lists this transfer RNA (72 nucleotides) under Capra hircus (goat). It matches the Rfam family "tRNA". From Rfam's summary of the family: Transfer RNA (tRNA) molecules are approximately 80 nucleotides in length. Lineage: Eukaryota; Metazoa; Chordata; Mammalia; Artiodactyla; Bovidae. The record is from Rfam by way of RNAcentral. RNAcentral also lists the same sequence under 1 other name.
UCCCUGCUAGCUCAGAUGGUAAAGAAUCUGCCUGCAAUGCAGAAGACCCAAGUGCAAUCUCUGGGUAGGGAA